CAGGUGGUCAGGUAGAGAAUACCAAGGCGCUUGAGAGAACUCGGGUGAAGGAACUAGGCAAAAUGGUGCCGUAACUUCGGGAGAAGGCACGCUGACACGUAGGUGAAGUGAUUUACUCAUGGAGCUGAAGUCAGUCGAAGAUACCAGCUGGCUGCAACUGUUUAUUAAAAACACAGCACUGUGCAAACACGAAAGUGGACGUAUACGGUGUGACGCCUGCCCGGUGCCGGAAGGUUAAUUGAUGGGGUCAGCGUAAGCGAAGCUCCUGAUCGAAGCCCCGGUAAACGGCGGCCGUAACUAUAACGGUCCUAAGGUAGCGAAAUUCCUUGUCGGGUAAGUUCCGACCUGCACGAAUGGCGUAAUGAUGGCCAGGCUGUCUCCACCCGAGACUCAGUGAAAUUGAACUCGCUGUGAAGAUGCAGUGUACCCGCGGCAAGACGGAAAGACCCCGUGAACCUUUACUAUAGCUUGACACUGAACAUUGAGCCUUGAUGUGUAGGAUAGGUGGGAGGCUUUGAAGUGUGGACGCCAGUCUGCAUGGAGCCGACCUUGAAAUACCACCCUUUAAUGUUUGAUGUUCUAACGUGGACCCGUAAUCCGGGUUGCGGACAGUGUCUGGUGGGUAGUUUGACUGGGGCGGUCUCCUCCUAAAGAGUAACGGAGGAGCACGAAGGUUGGCUAAUCCUGGUCGGACAUCAGGAGGUUAGUGCAAUGGCAUAAGCCAGCUUGACUGCGAGCGUGACGGCGCGAGCAGGUGCGAAAGCAGGUCAUAGUGAUCCGGUGGUUCUGAAUGGAAGGGCCAUCGCUCAACGGAUAAAAGGUACUCCGGGGAUAACAGGCUGAUACCGCCCAAGAGUUCAUAUCGACGGCGGUGUUUGGCACCUCGAUGUCGGCUCAUCACAUCCUGGGGCUGAAGUAGGUCCCAAGGGUAUGGCUGUUCGCCAUUUAAAGUGGUACGCGAGCUGGGUUUAGAACGUCGUGAGACAGUUCGGUCCCUAUCUGCCGUGGGCGCUGGAGAACUGAGGGGGGCUGCUCCUAGUACGAGAGGACCGGAGUGGACGCAUCACUGGUGUUCGGGUUGUCAUGCCAAUGGCACUGCCCGGUAGCUAAAUGCGGAAGAGAUAAGUGCUGAAAGCAUCUAAGCACGAAACUUGCCCCGAGAUGAGUUCUCCCUGAGACUUAGAGUCUCCUGAAGGAACGUUGAAGACGACGACGUUGAUAGGCCGGGUGUGUAAGCGCAGCGAUGCGUUGAGCUAACCGGUACUAAUGAACCGUGAGGCUUAACCUUACAAC
This 1293-nucleotide ribosomal RNA is filed under the name Salmonella enterica subsp. enterica. Its description in RNAcentral is "partial 23S ribosomal RNA". It matches the Rfam family "Bacterial large subunit ribosomal RNA", at positions 1660 to 2925 of the family's 2925-position model. The record is from RNAcentral. Lineage: Bacteria; Pseudomonadati; Pseudomonadota; Gammaproteobacteria; Enterobacterales; Enterobacteriaceae.